UACGGGGGGGGCAAGCGUUGUUCGGAAUUACUGGGCGUAAAGGGCUCGUAGGCGGCCAACUAAGUCGGAUGUGAAAUCCCCAGGCUUAACCUGGGAACUGCAUCCGAUACUGGAUGGCUUGAAUCCGGGAGAGGGAUGCAGAAUUCCAGGUGUAGCGGUGAAAUGCGUAGAUAUCUGGAGGAAUACCGGUGGCGAAGGCGGCAUCCUGGACCGGCAUUGACGCUGAGGCGCGAAAGCUAGGGGAGCAAACGGG
Molecule: ribosomal RNA, 253 nt
Filed under: uncultured bacterium
Lineage: Bacteria
Description: partial 16S ribosomal RNA
Rfam family: Bacterial small subunit ribosomal RNA
Source: RNAcentral